Molecule: long non-coding RNA, 512 nt
Organism: Vicia villosa (hairy vetch)
Lineage: Eukaryota; Viridiplantae; Streptophyta; Magnoliopsida; Fabales; Fabaceae
Exons: 2
Source: RefSeq, a predicted model, not a curated record
UUUAGACACUAUAAAAAGAUCAAAUUAUAUUUUUAUUUUUACCUAAAGGGAAAAAUAUGAGUAAAAUUCUUAUUGAUGUUAUAAUUCUAUUCUAUUUCCUAUUUAUUGUUGCAAGAGAAAUUGAAGCAGUUGUUUAUGAAUGUGAUGAUGAUGAUGAUUGUCCCCAAAAAUUACUUCCGGAAUAUUUUGUUAUGAGGUGCAUUAAUUACAAAUGUGUUCUUGUUGACACUGAAGAAUAUCCAUUCAAAAGGAAAACACUAUGAAGAACUUGAAUAUCAUGUUAUACAAAUGCCAUGAAGAAGAAGAAUUGGUUCUUUGUUCUCACAAAUAUUAUUAAUGAAAAGAAAGAAAAAAAAUAGUAAAGAGUAUUAUUUAGAUUGUUUUUAUUUCUUUUAUAUAUUUUGUACAUCACCAUGCAUGACCUCCAAUUCAAGUAUAUCGCAUUUUCUUUCAACUUCACCAUCUAUAUCAUAAUAUCUUUAUUAGUUAAAUUGAUAAUAAUUUUAGUUUAA